GGCUUCUUUAGAUAUUAUGAUGGAAAUAUUCUUCAAGGCGGCAUGCUUGGCUUAGUUUAAUAUCCUAAAUGCACUACAGAGCUUGCUUAAUUUCCUCCUUAGAUAUGCAGCCAUCCGAUGCUGUCACUGUAUCUCUGUGUUGCUGGUGGGUUGGGGUGGAGAAUAUUGCACUGGCAUUGCUGAAUAGCUUCUCUGUGCACGGCGCUGAGUUUUGUGUGUGUGUGUGUGUGUGUGUGUGUGUGGGUGAGGGAACGUGUGUGAGACAUGAGCAUGACUCACUCUGUAUUUUCUAUUGACUCGACAAGCCUGCGUCACUGACUAUCUCAUAUGAACUGAAUCCAAUAGGAUAACUACUUGCAAUCGCUCUUGGCUAAGACAAGUGUGUGUGUGUGUCAGUGUGUUUGAAGUAUUUGUUCACGAAGAUAGGUCUGGAUAACUGUAUUUACAAUGCAGUCUUCUGGUUUGUGUGUCAGUGUAUAGAAAAUGACAUUAUUCGUGGAGCGGAGGCGUGCGGGCUGAGCCGGAUCCUGAAUGCUGCACUGACAAUGAAGCUUGGAGGGACUUCAAGGUCACACCGCAGAGAGCUCUGUGAAUGAGAAAGUGAGAGGAAGAAAAAGAGAAGGUGGGGGGAGAACUGUGAGAGCAAAGCGAGCUGGAGGCAAAACGCCGAUUCGCCAUGCGAUGCUUGCAUAUCAAGUUGCUGCCCUGUGUCCAAAUUAAGAAGGCAAGAGAACAUCGCAGUCACCGAGGACUCUACAAUUAAUCAUAAUUUAAUGUCAAAUGGAUACGCUCCUUUGGCCGCUGUGCGUAAUUGAGCAUUACUCAGAUUCUCCAAAGGUCCUGGAGUGUAAUAACGCCUUCUGGUGCUCCGAGGCAAAUUCCCUCAUUUUCCUCAUCGUCUGUUGUUCAUCUUGAAGAAAAUCAAAGGAAAUGCACCACAAUUGGCCCCUGAGGGGAGUGGGAGGUCUGCAAGGUGGGAGGAAACUGGACAACCCAGAGGGAACCCAGACAGACAUAGGGAGAACAUGGACAUUCCACAUUUACAAUAUAAGGUAAGGUGGUAACAAUCCCGCCGUGAUCCAACACUACCAACCAUGAUCUGUUGUCUUCAUUAAGCACUUUAUCCUGGUCAGUGUCACAGUGAGUCCAGUGUCUAUCCCAGGAAGGUGGGAACACACCCUGGAAUUCAGGCUUGGGGAGUAACAGAAUACAUGUAACAGCCUUACGUGAUCAGGGUACAAAAAACUCGUAACUAUAAUCCGUUACACCAGUUACAUCAAAAAACAAAGUAAUCAGAUUACACGUACAUUUAGUAAAAAAAGGGAAUAGUAUCAAGAUCACAAUUUUUAAUUAAUCUUUUGACAAAACACAAUGUAGACAGCUGCUUGAUUAUAGUUCUGGUUCUCUCUUGCCAGUUGUGACUCACAUAAGCAACCUGCUGGUGCAUGCAUAAAUAAAUUGUGUGAGUUAAUUUGGUAGAAAUGAACACAAUUUGUUCUCUGAAAUGUUUUUGUUAGGGUGACCAAACGUACUUUUUUGCUUCUGUUGUGUAGGAGCUUUUAUAUGCUCGUUUUCUGCUUUCGGUGCUGUUACCUUUAAGUAUGUAAAAGCUAUGCUCCUAAAAUUUAUGUGCAGCUAGAUUAACCGUGCUUUCAGGAAGAUCGGCUGUGUACGUUGUGUAAGCAAACUGUUACUUGACGAUUGCUUCCAUUGUAGGUCUUGUUCUGCCACGUUUCAAGGUUGAGGCGGAAGCAAUUGCAGAUAUACAACGUUUUAUUUAAACAAACAAACAACAAAACAAAGACACUAAGACAGCUUGGCAAAAUACUGUGGCAAGAAACAAAACACGGUAACAUGGAACACAGUAGUCUAAGACAAACAUAAGACCGAAAAGCAGUGCAAAAAGUUGCUAAAUAUAGGAGUGCUCGUUAACAGAAACGUGAUUCAGGUGCAGGUAGUCAUGUGACAUAUUGUAGUACAGUGCAGUGGCAGUGGGGACUGAAGUCCAGAGUUACCUCCUUGACAUAUGACAGUUACUUUCAUAUUGUGAUACUUGAAUUAUGUUACUGAUUGCAUUUUUAUGAAGUAAUUUGUAACUGUAACUGAAUACAUUUAUAAAGUAACCCUCCCAACCCUGCUGGAAUGGGAUACCAGUUUGGACAUUCAUUUAUACAUAGGGACAGUUUUGAGUAGCCAGUAUGCCUUCUGGCAGGUUUUUAGGAGGUGGGAGAAAACCACAGAACCAAGAGGAAAUGCACACAUACAUGAAGAAAACAUGGAAAUACCAAAUAGAUAGAAAUGCGAACUCAGGAUCAAAGACUGGACCCUGGAGCUGUGAGGUGGCAACACUACUUGGAGAUGGUGCAUAACCAUUCUGGCCUGGUUGAAAGGCACUACAAAAAUAUUCUCCAUCAUGACACUGGCUUCAUGCGUGGUUUAAUUUCUCUCAGUUUCUUUAUUUUGUUUUAAGACGAGGGUUAAACAAGCAUUGCGAUUGACUGGGUUUUACAAAUACAAAUACGAAAGGUGAUUUUAGUUAUACUUGUGCUUUUCCUUCAUCCAUGCAUGUCUCUGGCCAGUCCAGAUGUUCACUAACUGGCACAUUAUGGCGAUGAAUGACAUCAUAGUCCUGUCAGCCCUGCACCUGAGGAUGUCUAUUCUUUUAGUGUCUGUUCAGGGAGCAAUGUGAUGAUAGAUACGAGGUAGAUGAGGUGUGUGUAUGUGUGUGUGUGUGUGUGUGUGUGUGUGUGUGUGUGUGUGUGUGUGUGUGUUUGUGUUUGCAUGAGGUAGUGUGUGUUACAGAAGUAAUCAGGCAGAUUAGUGGCCAUUGUUUGCCUGCUGUUUGCCCACCUGCUUCCUGGGCUGCUUUUCAAUAUCCAUCUCAGUCGGUGCUGCCUGACUUUUACAACUUCUCAAAGUACUGGUUUAUAUUUGCAACUUUAAGCAUGCUAGCACUAACCUAGUCUCUGUCACUGUCUCUGCUCCACCCACAUCCCACAACCCACAGCAUGUCUGAAACCUUUUUACACUCUGUUGGUCACAAGUUUUACAACCUUGAGGGUUGCAUUUGCAACUAAUUGGCUAUAUGUACAUCUGUGCAGUGCAUUCCGACAAAUCUUUAAGCAUCCAGACAAAAUGAGUGUUUUGGAGCAAGACAUAGCCACUAGAUUGAAAAAAAAGCAGCUGGUACAAUGUAUUAGAAAAUUAUUUUGAAACAGUUAGUUGUGAGUAGAGAAGGUCACUUAAACAACACUUUUUAGUGAAAGUAUGUUGGUGAUUCAUCGAUUGGGGAGCCAUUUAGACCUUCACCAUUCAAAAAAUAUAUUAACCCAUCAUAGGCAACAAAGUUUUUUUGAAUAAAUUUAUUUAAAUAUAAAAGAUGGCUGCAUUUUCCUCUUAUAUCUAUAACACUUUUAGUGAAUCACUUACUUUCAGUCUAUAAUUUUGAUAACAAGGCUGUACUUCAGUAUCAAAAUGUCACUGAAAAUAAAGAAAAAGUAAUGAGCGAACAUAAUUUUCUUCUACCCAUGAUCCUCAGGAAAUUCAAAUGAUGUAAUAUUCAACAUAGAAUAUUCCACAUAUUUCAUAGGGGUUAAUGUGUUCAGCAGCGUUGUGUGAAUGGUGUGGGAGACUAAAAUGGGAAUUUUUUUUUUACAAGCUAUAAUGGACGACUCAUGGAAAAUGAUGUUUCAAGCAUGCAAUAUUAAAUGGAUUCACACGCUAAUGCAAAAAUAGUAAUAAAUAAAUAAAUGCAGUAUUUUAGGGAUUAUAUUUCAAGGUAAAGUGUAGUUAUAGUGGGCUGAAACCUGGCAAAAUGAUUUAUCUGGAACCAGCACAUAGAUUGUCACUUUACCUGUGUUUAAAAAGUCUUCCACUUUUUCUUUACAUAUAUAAUUGUAAAUGUAAUAUCAGUGGGACACAAAUGUCACCCCAAUAGUGGAAUCACCCAUGAAGACUCUGCCUAUGUUCAUAUUUACAUUUGUAUUUGUUUAAAAAGCAUUAUCUGUUCAAGCCGAAUAAUGUAUUUGUAUAGGGGUUACAAGCCUAGCACAUACCCAUGCUCAAUUCGGGUAAACAUACAGCAUGUAGCACAUGACAACAGUCAUGAUUUCUUGGUCAAGAAACCUUGAAACCUCUCAGUGAGUCACCAGAGGUUCAGGUGACACAACAUCACUGGAGAAAAACAGCAAAGUAUCAAACCUUCUUCCUCAAAAUUAUUAUUCUUCCAUUUAUUCCCCAUCUUUUUUUUUUUUAAUAUUGCCUCAGCGCAAUUUUCAUCAUAUGUUCAAGUGCAUCACUUGACCACUAACCAAACUUAUCAGCUAUUCACAAACACGUUGUAUAUAUGGUGUUGAAUUGAAAGAUUGUUUUUUUUUUCAACAUUGGAUUAUUUCAAAAUUAUUUGCUGUAUCUGUAGAAAUGUAUUUAUUUAUCCAUCCAUUUUCCAUACUACUUCUCCUACACAGCAUCACAGGGGAGCCUGGAGCCUAUCCCAGAGAACUCGGGGCACAAGGCGAGGGAUACCUUGGAGCGGGUGCCAACCCAUCACACACACAUUCAAAAACUACGGACAAUUUGGAAAUGCCAAUCGGUCUACAAUGCAUGUAUUUGGGCUGGGUGAGGAAACCGGAGUAACCAGAGGAAACCCUGUAGCAUAGGGAGAACAUGCAAGAUCUACACACACAAGGCAGCGACGGGAUUCAAACCCCCAAUUCCGGAAGUGUAAAGACACUGUGCUUAUUUAUUGAUUUAUUUAUUUAUUUUACAAUAUGUAUUUAUAGGAAAUUUAAUGCAAUAUUAGACUUUUAUUCCACGGCACUUUAUUAUUUUUGAAUAACACCACAGACCAGAAAUUAGUUCCACUUGUAACAUAAACACUGGGUUUAUAUUAAUGGUAUAAUUCUAAUGCAUUAUUGUUUCUGUAAUGCUCCACAUAAUCUAAGGCUAGUUUUGGUUGAAGGUGCUGUGUAACUUGGGGGGGGGGUACUGAUGGUAGUGUCACUCCGCUGGCAUAUUGGGCUGCAUCACACCCCUCUACCCUGCUUGGAUUGCUUGUGUAUAACAGUAUGGUCUGUCAUGUGUUAUUCCUUACAUAUUAUAACUUUAAAGUCUCAUUGUUGCCUAUAAACUCAAGUAUCCAGGAUUUAGUUCUGAACUUCAAUUCAUUUCAGUGUUACUCUGAGUUUCCAUGGGGGGUUUACUCUGGGUUCUCUGGUUUCCUCCCAUGUCUUAAAAACACGGCAAAAGGUUGACUGCACUAGCAUCCCGUCCAGGUUGAAUUCCUGCUUUACACCCAGUGUUCCUGGGAUAGGCUCCGGAUCCACCGUAACCAUGAUCAGAAUAAAGUGGCUAGUGAAGAAUGUAUGAAUUAAUGUUUUCCCAGUUAGAUUCUUGUCUUAGUCUCUUAAGUAGUAUAAGCUUGCUUUUGCUUAAAAAAAUCUGAAGCUUUGAAGCUCAAUUUAGGUUUAAUAUUAGACUCAAAUUAUGCCACUCAUAUAUAAUAUAUGAUAAUAAAUAUGCAUAAUUAACAUGGUCUCCUACUGUUUAAUGUCUCUCAUUGCCUAUAGACUGCUCUUGAUUUGUCAAAAUGCUUAGUGCUCUAGGAUCUCAAUUGAUUCAAAAUGUUGCACGUGAUCGGCUACCCACAGAGAUAUGACAAAUAUGUUAAUACCUGUGCUGUGUAUGACUUCCUGAUGCAACACAAAGAAAGGAGGGAAUAGAAAACCACCUACCUCAAUAUACUGUGAUUAAUAUGUUGUAAAUAAAAAAUAAAAUAAAAUAAAGACACAUCAGGGUAUAGAAUGGAAUAGUCAAGGUUUCAGGGUGUUUCUGUUUCAUUUCAGGCUUUCAUAUUCAUAAACAGCUGCUAUUAUGAAAUGGUAAAGUAUAAGUGUAUAAUGUUGUUGUUUGAAAUUGGACAUACACUACUGGUAUACUUAAAUUGCCAAAAACUUAUUUCUAAGUACAGUGCAUCUUUCAAAGAACAAAAAUACAGACUUUAUGCCUAUGUAUGUUUGUUUUUUAGACAAGUAUUUACUUUACAUGAGUAUUUUUAAAUUUAAUGAAUCUUGUUUAAAA
Long non-coding RNA from Ictalurus punctatus (channel catfish), 6078 nucleotides. Lineage: Eukaryota; Metazoa; Chordata; Actinopteri; Siluriformes; Ictaluridae. The record is from Ensembl.